CCGCGUGUGUGAAGAAGGCCUUCGGGUUGUAAGCACUUUCAGUAGGGAGGAAGGCUUACCGCUAAUAAUGGUGAGUACUUGACGUUACCUACAGAAGAAGCACCGGCUAAUUUCGUGCCAGCAGCCGCGGUAAUACGAAAGGUGCGAGCGUUAAUCGGAAUUACUGGGCGUAAAGCGCGCGUAGGCGGUUUGUUAAGUCAGAUGUGAAAGCCCCGGGCUCAACCUGGGAAUUGCAUUUGAAACUGGCAAGCUAGAGUGCAGUAGAGGGAGGUGGAAUUUCCGGUGUAGCGGUGAAAUGCGUAGAGAUCGGAAGGAACACCAGUGGCGAAGGCGGCCUCCUGGACUGACACUGACGCUGAGGUUCGAAAGCGUGGGGAGCAAACAGGAUUAGAUACCCUGGUAGUCCACGCCGUAAACGAUGUCUACUAGUCGUUGGGAAUCUUAGUAUUCUUGGUGACGAAGUUAACGCGAUAAGUAGACCGCCUGGGGAGUACGGCCGCAAGGUUAAAACUCAAAUGAAUUGACGGGGGCCCGCACAAGCGGUGGAGCAUGUGGUUUAAUUCGAUGCAACGCGAAGAACCUUACCAGGCCUUGACAUCCUGCGAACUUACUAGAGAUAGAUUGGUGCCUUCGGGAGCGCAGUGACAGGUGCUGCAUGGCCGUCGUCAGCUCGUGUCGUGAGAUGUUGGGUUAAGUCCCGUAACGAGCGCAACCCUUGUCCUUAGUUGCCAGCACAUAAUGGUGGGAACUCUAGGGAGACUGCCGGUGACAAACCGGAGGAAGGUGGGGACGACGUCAGGUCAUCAUGGCCCUUACGGCCUGGGCUACACACGUGCUACAAUGGGCGGUACAGAGGGCAGCGAAGUCGCGAGGCCAAGCAAAUCCCUUAAAACCGUUCGUAGUCCGGAUUGGAGUCUGCAACUCGACUCCAUGAAGUCGGAAUCGCUAGUAAUCGUGAAUCAGAAUGUCGCGGUGAAUACGUUCCCGGGCCUUGUACACACCGCCCGUCACACCAUG
This 1017-nucleotide ribosomal RNA is filed under the name Alcanivorax sp. AU3SG4. RNAcentral describes it as "bacterial SSU rRNA". It matches the Rfam family "Bacterial small subunit ribosomal RNA", at positions 397 to 1406 of the family's 1533-position model. Lineage: Bacteria; Pseudomonadati; Pseudomonadota; Gammaproteobacteria; Oceanospirillales; Alcanivoracaceae. The record is from RNAcentral.